UGCGCAGGCGGGCUGGGUAGUCAGGGGUGAAAUCUCGCCGCUUAACGGCGAAACUGCCUUUGAUACUCUCAGUCUUGAGUCCGGUAGAGAUCUGUGGAAUUCCGAGUGUAGCAGUGAAAUGUGUAGAUAUUCGGAAGAACACCAGUGGCGAAGGCAGCAGAUUGGGCCGGUACUGACGCUCAGGCACGAAAGCAUGGGGAUCAAACA
RNAcentral lists this ribosomal RNA (207 nucleotides) under uncultured bacterium. Its description in RNAcentral is "partial 16S ribosomal RNA". It matches the Rfam family "Bacterial small subunit ribosomal RNA", at positions 568 to 774 of the family's 1533-position model. The record is from RNAcentral.